This 409-nucleotide long non-coding RNA is filed under the name Felis catus (domestic cat). RNAcentral's name for it is "lncRNA (ENSFCAG00000043087.2)". The record is from RNAcentral. Lineage: Eukaryota; Metazoa; Chordata; Mammalia; Carnivora; Felidae.
GUGCCUAUUUGGUCUCUGGAAGCUGCCAGGUCUCUUUGAAUUGGGGCUCUCUUGGCCCUUGGGGUAAGUGAACAAGGAUGUCCUGGUCCAUCAUUUAUUAAGCAAAUUCUGCACAGCAACUCUGUAUGUGUGUCCUGCCUUGGCAAAUGUGGAAGAUCUACAAACAUGAAAAAGGCCUGAUACUUGCUUUCAUGGGACUCAUCAUCCAGGAGGCUCCCUCAGUGGCCAAGGGAAACAAAAGGCCCUGGACCUCACUGAUACCAGGCUUGACCAAGUCCUGGAAGACUAACUUGGCCUAACUGAAAUGCACAUGAAAUGGAGACAAAAACCAACAGUAAGUAAAAUAAUUGUCACAAAGACUAAGAGUGUCUUUACUGGCAUUAUCUGCACAUUUUGUCUCUUUAGUUAA